RNAcentral lists this unclassified non-coding RNA (166 nucleotides) under uncultured Kretzschmaria. Its description in RNAcentral is "sequence contains ITS1". Lineage: Eukaryota; Fungi; Ascomycota; Sordariomycetes; Xylariales; Xylariaceae. The record is from RNAcentral.
CAGAGUUUACGAUGAAAACUCCCAAACCCCUUGUGAACCUACUCUUUUGUUGCCUCGGCAGGCAAGAGGGCCUCCACAUUAGAGGCUGGCCUGCCGGUGGUCUACGAGACGAAAUUUUGUUUAGCACUUGGUUAUUCUGAUCAGUUAGGACAUAAUAUCGAGUUUA